CCUACGGGUGGCAGCAGUGGGGAAUAUUGGGCAAUGGGCGCAAGCCUGACCCAGCAACGCCGCGUGAAGGAAGAAGGCUUUCGGGUUGUAAACUUCUUUUAAGAGGGAAGAGCAGAAGACGCUACCUCUUGAAUAAGCCACGGCUAACUACGUGCCAGCAGCCGCGGUAAUACGUAGGUGGCAGGCGUUGUCCGGAUUUCCUGGGUGUAAAGGGCGUGUAGCCGGGCUGACAAGUCAGCUGUGAAAUCCCGUGGCUCAACCACGGAACUGCAGUUGACACUGUCGGUCUUGAGUAUCGGAGAGGCAGGCGGAAUGCGGAGUGUAGCGGUGAAAUGCGUAGAUAUUAGGAGGAACACCAGUGGCGAAGGCGGCCUGCUGGACGACAACUGACGGUGAGGCGCGAAAGCGUGGGGAGCAAACAGGAUUAGAUACCCGGGUAGUC
This 442-nucleotide ribosomal RNA is filed under the name uncultured bacterium. RNAcentral describes it as "partial 16S ribosomal RNA". It matches the Rfam family "Bacterial small subunit ribosomal RNA", at positions 338 to 795 of the family's 1533-position model. The record is from RNAcentral.